AACGAACGCUGGCGGCAUGCCUAACACAUGCAAGUCGAACGAGCCCUUCGGGUCUCGUCGCGCAAGGGUGCGUAUCGCGUGGGAACCUGCCCUUAGUCUCGGAAUAACCCCCCGCCAGGGGUGCUAAUACCGGCUCAUGUCUUCUUCCCAAAGAUUUUUCGCCUUUGGAUGGGCCCGCGUUGGAUUAGCUAGUUGGUAGGGUAAAAGCCUACGAAGGCGACGAUCCAUAGCUGGUCUGAGAGGAUGAGCGGCCACACUGGGACUGAGACACGGCGCAGACGCGUAGGGGAGGGAGCAGUGGGGAAUAGGGGAAAAUGGGCGAAAGGCGGAGGCAGCGAAGCCGCGUGAGUGAUAAAGGCCUGAGGGUUGGAAAGAACUUUUAGCCGGGAUGAAAAUGACAGUACCGGGAGAAGAAGCUCCGGCUAACUCCGUG
RNAcentral lists this ribosomal RNA (433 nucleotides) under uncultured bacterium. Its description in RNAcentral is "partial 16S ribosomal RNA". It matches the Rfam family "Bacterial small subunit ribosomal RNA", at positions 29 to 507 of the family's 1533-position model. The record is from RNAcentral.